GAUGAACGCUGGCGGCGUGCCUAAUACAUGCAAGUCGAGCGAACAGACGAGGAGCUUGCUCCUCUGACGUUAGCGGCGGACGGGUGAGUAACACGUGGAUAACCUACCUAUAAGACUGGGAUAACUUCGGGAAACCGGAGCUAAUACCGGAUAAUAUAUUGAACCGCAUGGUUCAAUAGUGAAAGACGGUUUUGCUGUCACUUAUAGAUGGAUCUGCGCCGCAUUAGCUAGUUGGUAAGGUAACGGCUUACCAAGGCAACGAUGCGUAGCCGAACUGAGAGGGUGAUAGGCCACACUGGAACUGAGACACGGACAAGACUCCUACGGGAGGCAGCAGUAGGGAAUGUUCCGCAAUGGGCGAAAGCCUGACGGAGCAACGCCGCGUGAGUGAUGAAGGUCUUCGGAUCGUAAAACUCUGUUAUUAGGGAAGAACAAAUGUGUAAGUAACUAUGCACGUCUUGACGGUACCUAAUCAGAAAGCCACGGCUAACUACGUG
Molecule: ribosomal RNA, 497 nt
Filed under: uncultured bacterium
Lineage: Bacteria
Description: partial 16S ribosomal RNA
Rfam family: Bacterial small subunit ribosomal RNA
Source: RNAcentral